RNAcentral lists this ribosomal RNA (439 nucleotides) under uncultured bacterium. Its description in RNAcentral is "partial 16S ribosomal RNA". It matches the Rfam family "Bacterial small subunit ribosomal RNA", at positions 339 to 795 of the family's 1533-position model. The record is from RNAcentral.
CUACGGGCGGCUCCAGUGGGGAAUAUUGCACACUGGAGGAAACUCUGAUGCAUCCACUCCGCGUGGAGGAUGACACUUUUCGGAGCGUAAACUCCUUUUAUAUAGGAAGAAGAUGACGGUACUAUAUGAAUAAGCGCCGGCUAACUCCGUGCCAGCAGCCGCGGUAAUACGGAGGGCGCAAGCGUUACUCGGAAUCACUGGGCGUAAAGAGCGUGUAGGCGGAUUAAAAAGUCAGAAGUGAAAUCCUAUAGCUUAACUAUAGAACUGCUUCUGAAACUCUUAAUCUAGAAUAUGGGAGAGGUAGAUGGAAUUUCUGGUGUAGGGGUAAAAUCCGUAGAGAUCAGAAGGAAUACCGAUUGCGAAGGCGAUCUACUAGAACAUUAUUGACGCUGAGACGCGAAAGCGUGGGGAGCAAACAGGAUUAGAUACCCUCGUAGUC